AUUGAACGCUGGCGGCAUGCCUUACACAUGCAAGUCGAACGGCAGCACGGGAGCAAUCCUGGUGGCGAGUGGCGAACGGGUGAGUAAUAUAUCGGAACGUGCCCAGUCGUGGGGGAUAACGUAGCGAAAGCUACGCUAAUACCGCAUACGAUCUAUGGAUGAAAGCGGGGGAUCGCAAGACCUCGCGCGAUUGGAGCGGCCGAUAUCAGAUUAGGUAGUUGGUGGGGUAAAAGCCUACCAAGCCUUCGAUCUGUAGCUGGUCUGAGAGGACGACCAGCCACACUGGAACUGAGACACGGUCCAGACUCCUACGGGAGGCAGCAGUGGGGAAUUUUGGACAAUGGGCGCAAGCCUGAUCCAGCCAUGCCGCGUGAGUGAAGAAGGCCUCGGUUGUAAG
Molecule: ribosomal RNA, 397 nt
Filed under: uncultured bacterium
Lineage: Bacteria
Description: bacterial SSU rRNA
Rfam family: Bacterial small subunit ribosomal RNA
Source: RNAcentral